This 395-nucleotide unclassified non-coding RNA is filed under the name soil metagenome. Its description in RNAcentral is "partial contains 5.8S ribosomal RNA, internal transcribed spacer 2, and large subunit ribosomal RNA". The stretch from base 1 to 122 matches the Rfam family "5.8S ribosomal RNA", at positions 35 to 154 of the family's 154-position model. The record is from RNAcentral.
GAUGAAGAACGCAGCGAAAUGCGAUACUUGGUGUGAAUUGCAGAAUCCCGUGAACCAUCGAGUGUUUGAACGCAAGUUGCGCCCGAAGCCAUCAGGUUGAGGGCACGUCUGCCUGGGCGUCACAUAUCGUUGCCCUAUGCCUAUUGCAGUGCAAUAGGAAUUUCUAGGGCGAAUGAUGGCUUCCCGUGAGCGUUGUUGCCUCGCGGUUGGUUGAAAAUCGAGUCCUUGGUAGGGUGUGCCAUGGUAGAUGGUGGUCGAGUUAGAACGAUACCGAUCAUGUGCAUGCUCCCCAAAAUAUGGCCUCUAUGACCCACACGCGUCUUUUGACGCUCAUGACGAGACCUCAGGUCAGGCGGGGCUACCCGCUGAAUUUAAGCAUAUCAAUAAGCGGAGGA